GAACAAAUUCAUAAUAAGGUGGGGGGGGGGCCUGGGGGGUCCCCUGGGACCCCCCAUCAUGGGUAACCCUUUCCAACAAGGGACCCAUUCCUGUUCAGGUCGUGGUUCUGAAAAUUGCCAGAACCUGGGCGAAUAUAUCUUGGUCUUCCUGGGCCUCAUCAUCUUCAUCAACAUUGGACUCAAUGUGGUGACUCUGCUCCGGUGCCGCCUUAGGGGCUCUUUCAACCAAAUAUUCCAUAAUUUUUUUCAGGAAGAUAACAUGCUCAAGCUGGCCCCAGUUGUUCCUAAGAAACUGCUCAUCCACACGCCUCCAGCACUGAAGCAGACAUGGAGACCUGCCUAUCGGGAACCCCCUGUCUAUAGAAACUCUCCUGUGUGUCAGAAUCCUGCUGUCUGUUGGAAAUCUCCUAUCUGUCGGAACCAUUCUGUCUUUCCUAAUUCUGCUGCCCGUUGGAAUCCUGCAGUUUGUCAGAACCUUGCUCUCUCUGACCACUGCUCUAUGGACACUUUGACUCUUGACGUGACCCCUCCAGGCUCUUGCUUUCAACACUCAGUUUUCUCAUCAGAACCUAAACAGUGUCUAGAUGCCAAGCUUCCCAUUGGAGAUGACAAAGUUUCCCAUUCUCCAACGCCUCAGGCACAAUGGGAAGAGUUAUCAACUUGUCCCCCAUCUCCUGCGACCCAUUUCCAACAAUACUUGGGAAGACCAGCCAAGAGGGUGGAAGCAAAGUCCAGGAUGGAGCUGAAAGCUUAUGUGUACCCCAGUAAGCCUUCAUCACAUAAUGCUGACUCCCAGAGCUGCAGAGAGAAUACAGAAUCAGGCACGUAUGGAUAUUUCUCCCAGCUCUUCCACCAGGUUACAGUUAAACCUCUAAGUUACAAUUCUGUGCCCUCCACAAGCCAUGUGAUGUACAAUAGCUGGGAAAAGAAGAGAGUUUCUUCCUGACAGUAUGAUGGAAGUACAUCAGAUCUGAGGAGGAGAAGAAUAAAGAAAUAAUUAGUAUGGGGCAUCGCCAUUAAAAGAAGAUAUUCUGGAUAAAGAGAACUUUGAGAAUCAAACCUGAACUAAUAAAAUGCCAGCAUCAUACCUGCCCCUAACAUUUGCAAUAGCUGGUAAUUUGGACAAGAGGAGAUGGACUCAUGGUUGAAUUGGAGAAGAAUGCUGCAAAUACAGCUAAGAGGACCCCAAGCUCUAUAUCCAAGGUUUGACCUCUUUCCCACCAAAUAACAGUUCUACGGUGAACAUAUAUAGUGACUAGUAAAGAAGCCCGUUUAUCCAAAUCCUAGCAGAACAUAAAUCAGAGAAAGGUAUACAUAGAAGAAUGUGUACCAAACAAUAUAGAAUAAAGAAACUUUCCCAUUGGGAUCAGGAUAACUAGCUUAAUAAAGAUAUCUUGAUCAA
Antechinus flavipes (yellow-footed antechinus) is the source of this 1402-nucleotide RNA transcript. It is a transcript of the gene named spermatid maturation 1, with no coding region annotated. Lineage: Eukaryota; Metazoa; Chordata; Mammalia; Dasyuromorphia; Dasyuridae. The record is from RefSeq and is a predicted model, not a curated record. The transcript has 6 exons.